GGAAUCUUGCGCAAUGAGCGAAAGCUUGACGCAGCGACGCCGCGUGGGGGAUGAAGGCUUUCGGGUUGUAAACCCCUUUUGGGAGGAAAGAAAACCGGAGAACGAAUAAUUCUCCGGUUUGACGGUACCUCCAGAAAAAGCCACGGCUAACUCUGUGCCAGCAGCCGCGGUAAGACAGAGGUGGCAAGCGUUGUUCGGAAUUACUGGGCGUAAAGCGCACGUAGGCGGUUCGGUAAGGCCUUUGUGAAAUCCUACCGCUCAACGGUGGAAUGGCAUGGGCGACUGCCGGACUAGAGGUUGGGAGAGGAGAGUGGAAUUCCCGGUGUAGCGGUGAAAUGCGUAGAUAUCGGGAGGAAGGCCGGUGGCGAAGGCGACUCUCUGGAACAAUUCUGACGCUGAGGUGCGAAAGCGUGGGUAGCA
This 420-nucleotide ribosomal RNA is filed under the name uncultured bacterium. RNAcentral's name for it is "bacterial SSU rRNA". It matches the Rfam family "Bacterial small subunit ribosomal RNA", at positions 358 to 770 of the family's 1533-position model. The record is from RNAcentral.